This 484-nucleotide ribosomal RNA is filed under the name uncultured bacterium. Its description in RNAcentral is "partial 16S ribosomal RNA". It matches the Rfam family "Bacterial small subunit ribosomal RNA", at positions 30 to 507 of the family's 1533-position model. The record is from RNAcentral.
AUUGAACGCUGGCGGCAGGCCUAACACAUGCAAGUCGAGCGGAUGAAGGGAGCUUGCUCCUGGAUUCAGCGGCGGACGGGUGAGUAAUGCCUAGGAAUCUGCCUGGUAGUGGGGGAUAACGUCCGGAAACGGGCGCUAAUACCGCAUACGUCCUGAGGGAGAAAGUGGGGGAUCUUCGGACCUCACGCUAUCAGAUGAGCCUAGGUCGGAUUAGCUAGUUGGUGGGGUAAAGGCCUACCAAGGCGACGAUCCGUAACUGGUCUGAGAGGAUGAUCAGUCACACUGGAACUGAGACACGGUCCAGACUCCUACGGGAGGCAGCAGUGGGGAAUAUUGGACAAUGGGCGAAAGCCUGAUCCAGACAUGCCGCGUGUGUGAAGAAGGUCUUCGGAUUGUAAAGCACUUUAAGUUGGGAGGAAGGGCAGUAAGUUAAUACCUUGCUGUUUUGACGUUACCAACAGAAUAAGCACCGGCUGACUUCGUG